This 497-nucleotide ribosomal RNA is filed under the name uncultured bacterium. RNAcentral describes it as "partial 16S ribosomal RNA". It matches the Rfam family "Bacterial small subunit ribosomal RNA", at positions 28 to 507 of the family's 1533-position model. The record is from RNAcentral.
GAUGAACGCUGGCGGCGUGCCUAAUACAUGCAAGUCGAGCGAACAGACGAGGAGCUUGCUCCUCUGACGUUAGCGGCGGACGGGUGAGUAACACGUGGAUAACCUACCUAUAAGACUGGGAUAACUUCGGGAAACCGCAGCUAAUACCGGAUAAUAUAUUCAACCGCAUGGUUCAAUAGUGAAAGACGGUUUUGCUGUCACUUAUAGAUGGAUCCGCGCCGCAUUAGCUAGUUGGUAAGGUAACGGCUUACCAAGGCAACGAUGCGUAGCCGACCUGAGAGGGUGAUCGGCCACACUGGAACUGAGACACGGUCCAGACUCCUACGGGAGGCAGCAGUAGGGAAUCUUCCGCAAUGGGCGAAAGCUUGACGGAGCAACGCCGCGUGAGUGAUGAAGGUCUUCGGAUCGUAAAACUCUGUUAUUAGGGAAGAACAGAUGUGUAAGAAACUAUGCACGUCUUGACGGUACCUAAUCAGAAAGCCACGGCUAACUUCGUG